Molecule: ribosomal RNA, 469 nt
Filed under: uncultured bacterium
Lineage: Bacteria
Description: partial 16S ribosomal RNA
Rfam family: Bacterial small subunit ribosomal RNA
Source: RNAcentral
GACGAACGCUGGCGGCGUGCUUAACACAUGCAAGUCGAACGGUGAAGCGAGUGCUUGCACUCGUGGAUCAGUGGCGAAAGGGUGAGUAAAAAGUGAGUAACCUGCCUAUCAGUCUGGGAUAAGAACUGGAAAGGGUGUAUAAUAAUGGAUACGAAAAAAGAUUGCAUGGGGUGUUGGGGGAAAGAUGGAUCGGUGAUGGAGGGACGCGGGGCGGAUCAGCUUGUUGGCGGGGUAAUGGCCCACCAAGGCGACGACGGGUAACCGGCCUGAGAGGGUGACGAGCCACACUAUAACUGAGACACUGCCCAGACUCCUCCAUUAGACAGCAGUGCAAAAUAUUGCACCCUGGGCUACAGCCUGCUGCCGCGCCUCCUCCUUAGAUAUGACGGCCUUCGGGUUAUACACCUCUUUCAUCAGGGAAGAAGCGACAUUGACGGUACCUACAGAAGAAGCACCGGCUAACUACAUG